UACGGGGGGAGCAAGCGUUGUUCGGAUUUACUGGGCGUAAAGGGCGCGUAGGCGGCUUGGCAAGUCGGGUGUGAAACCUCCAGGCUCAACCUGGAGACGCCACUCGAUACUGCCAUGGCUAGAGUCCGGUAGGGGACCACGGAAUUCCUGGUGUAGCGGUGAAAUGCGCAGAUAUCAGGAGGAACACCGGUGGCGAAGGCGGUGGUCUGGGCCGGCACUGACGCUGAGGAGCGAAAGCGUGGGUAGCAAACAGG
Molecule: ribosomal RNA, 254 nt
Filed under: uncultured bacterium
Lineage: Bacteria
Description: partial 16S ribosomal RNA
Rfam family: Bacterial small subunit ribosomal RNA
Source: RNAcentral